AUGCACGCUGGCGGCGUGCUUAACACAUGCCAGUCGCACGAUGAAGCCCAGCUUGCUGGGUGGAUUAGUGGCGAACGGGUGAGUAACACGUGAGUAACCUGCCCUUAACUCUGGGAUAAGCCUGGGAAACUGGGUCUAAUACCGGAUAGGAGCGUCCACCGCAUGGUGGGUGUUGGAAAGAUUUAUCGGUUUUGGAUGGACUCGCGGCCUAUCAGCUUGUUGGUGAGGUAAUGGCUCACCAAGGCGACGACGGGUAGCCGGCCUGAGAGGGUGACCGGCCACACUGGGACUGAGACACGGCCCAGACUCCUACGGGAGGCAGCAGUGGGGAAUAUUGCACAAUGGGCGCAAGCCUGAUGCAGCGACGCCGCGUGAGGGAUGACGGCCUUCGGGUUGUAAACCUCUUUCAGUAGGGAAGAAGCGAAAGUGACGGUACCUGCAGAAGAAGCACCGGCUAACUACGUG
Molecule: ribosomal RNA, 465 nt
Filed under: uncultured bacterium
Lineage: Bacteria
Description: partial 16S ribosomal RNA
Rfam family: Bacterial small subunit ribosomal RNA
Source: RNAcentral